RNAcentral lists this ribosomal RNA (270 nucleotides) under uncultured archaeon. RNAcentral's name for it is "partial 16S ribosomal RNA". It matches the Rfam family "Archaeal small subunit ribosomal RNA", at positions 477 to 747 of the family's 1478-position model. The record is from RNAcentral.
CAGCGCCACGAGUGGUGAUCACAUUAUUGGGUCUAAAGCGUCCGUAGCUGGUUUAGUAAAUCUUCUGUGAAAUCGUUUCGCUUAACGAAACGGCGUGCAGGGGACACUGCUAAUCUCGAGACCGGGAGGAGUCAGAGGUAUGCCGUGGGGACUGGUAAAAUGGGAUAAUCCACGGUAGACCACCAAUGGCGAAGGCAUCUGACCAGAACGGAUCUGACGGUGAGGGACGAAAGCCAGGGGAGCGAACCGGAUUAGAUACCCGAGUAGUCC